CCUACGGGAGGCAGCAGUGAGGCAUAUUGGUCAAUGGACGCAAGUCUGAACCAGCCAUGCCGCGUGCAGGAAGACGGCUCUAUGAGUUGUAAACUGCUUUUGUACGAGGGUAAACGCAGAUACGCGUAUCUGUCUGAAAGUAUCGUACGAAUAAGGAUCGGCUAACUCCGUGCCAGCAGCCGCGGUAAUACGGAGGAUUCAAGCGUUAUCCGGAUUUAUUGUGUUUAAAGGGUGCGUAGGCGGUCGGAUAAGUUAGAGGUGAAAUCCCGAGGCUCAACUUCGGAAUUGCAUCUGAUACUGUUCGGCUAGAGAGUAGUUGCGGUAGGCGGAAUGUAUGGUGUAGCGGUGAAAUGCUUAGAGAGCAUACAGAACACCGAUUGCGAAGGCAGCUUACCAAGCUACUUCUGACGUUGAGGCACGAAAGCGUGGGUAGCAAACAGGAUUAGAUACCCCAGUAGUC
Molecule: ribosomal RNA, 460 nt
Filed under: uncultured bacterium
Lineage: Bacteria
Description: partial 16S ribosomal RNA
Rfam family: Bacterial small subunit ribosomal RNA
Source: RNAcentral